GUCUUCGUGGCUCAGUUGGUUAGAGCGUUGGUCUCAUAUUCCUUUAUAAUACAAUGUGAGGUAGUUGUUAACAAUUACUGUGCCAUCCAAAGGUCGUGAGUUCGAGUCUCACCGAGGACA
RNAcentral lists this transfer RNA (120 nucleotides) under Sclerotinia sclerotiorum 1980 UF-70. Its description in RNAcentral is "tRNA-Met for anticodon CAU". It matches the Rfam family "tRNA". From Rfam's summary of the family: Transfer RNA (tRNA) molecules are approximately 80 nucleotides in length. Their secondary structure includes four short double-helical elements and three loops (D, anti-codon, and T loops). Lineage: Eukaryota; Fungi; Ascomycota; Leotiomycetes; Helotiales; Sclerotiniaceae. The record is from Rfam by way of RNAcentral.